GUCAAAGGCCCUUUCAGAAGCAACUCCAUUUCAUUGGAUAACUUAAAACCCUCCAGAGUGUACUGUUUACAAGUCCAGGCACAACUGCUUUGGAACAAAAGUAACAUCUUUAGAGUCGGGCAUUUAAGCAACAUAUCUUGCUACGAAACAAUGGCAGAUGCCUCCACUGAGCUUCAGCAAGUCAUCCUGAUCUCCGUGGGAACAUUUUCGUUGCUGUCGGUGCUGGCAGGAGCCUGUUUCUUCCUGGUCCUGAAAUAUAGAGGCCUGAUUAAAUACUGGUUUCACACUCCACCAAGCAUCCCAUUACAGAUAGAAGAG
RNAcentral lists this non-coding RNA (318 nucleotides) under Homo sapiens (human). The record is from RNAcentral. Lineage: Eukaryota; Metazoa; Chordata; Mammalia; Primates; Hominidae.